AGGACGUCAAUUAUUCAAGCUCCACUUAUUCGGAGGCAGUGGGUCUUCUAUGAAUACAGACAUUAUGUUUAUUUAUAGGGACGGUAAACCAACCUGGAAAGUUCAUCCUCUGGCUCUGGAUGAGCUCGGGAUAUCAGGAAGGAAGGUAUUGCUUCCUGUCAACUAUUUAAACUCAAGUCCAACCAACCAGGGUUCUAUGAAUAAACACACAGGGACCUGUUAAACCGUAACUAUGAGCUAAAGUGAGUUUAUUCCUCCCCCGGCCGGUUAUCAGAUGUUCACUUCAUGGUCUGUGGGGGACGUGGUAAACAGCCACCGGGGAGUUUCCUGCUCUUUUAAUUGGAGGGGUUCUUGAAGCAGAUGUCCAACGUGUAAGGAGACGUGGAUGACAGCUCUGGGGCCUCUUGCUGUUGAAGCUGGAAGAACGGAGAAGGUCCAGUAGACUAGUGCAGUAGAUAAUCACUCCAGGGCCAACCCAUGAGGUCUCAAAUCUCCUACCUGAGCUGGCACCUUCCUUAGUUAACUACCUUUGGCAUAAUAUGAAGAAAUGUCAAAUGCUGUGCAUUGUUUUCAAGCCAGAUUCCAACAAUGCUUAGAAAGGUUCUUCGGAAGAAAGCUUUUCUCAGCCUUUUUUCUGAAUUUUGCUUUCCAGAGCCUGACGCAAGGGCGAAAAUUUCUUUAUUUUCCCUCAUUCCCACCCGUGCUUGUCAGGGCCAACACUGUACACUGGCUCACUUUGGGGAACUCUGGAAAACAUACAUCCUAACCCUUGUCUGAAAAUAACUGGCAGCAAGGCUAUAGGUA
RNAcentral lists this long non-coding RNA (804 nucleotides) under Homo sapiens (human). RNAcentral's name for it is "HSALNT0225930". The record is from RNAcentral. Lineage: Eukaryota; Metazoa; Chordata; Mammalia; Primates; Hominidae.